GACGAACGCUGGCGGCGUGCUUAACACAUGCAAGUCGAGCGGUAAGGCCCUUUCGGGGGUACACGAGCGGCGAACGGGUGAGUAACACGUGGGUGACCUACCCUCAGCUCUGGGAUAAGCCUGGGAAACCGGGUCUAAUACUGGAUAUGACUCCAUGACGCAUGUUGUGGGGUGGAAAGCCUUGUGCGGCUGAGGAUGGGCCCGCGGCCUAUCAGCUUGUUGGUGGGGUGAUGGCCUACCAAGGCGACGACGGGUAGCCGGCCUGAGAGGGCGACCGGCCACACUGGGACUGAGACACGGCCCAGACUCCUACGGGAGGCAGCAGUGGGGAAUCUUGCGCAAUGGGCGAAAGCCUGACGCAGCGACGCCGCGUGAGGGAUGACGGCCU
Molecule: ribosomal RNA, 388 nt
Filed under: uncultured bacterium
Lineage: Bacteria
Description: bacterial SSU rRNA
Rfam family: Bacterial small subunit ribosomal RNA
Source: RNAcentral